UUUCCCCCCCAUCCACUUUCACCUCUCCACUGCCCUGGACCUCCACAACUCUUACGCACAUUGGUAGCCUAAAAUAAUGGUCCUGUCCUUUAGGAGCGUCAACAUCCACACGGACGCCAACCUGGGUGAUCUGGGCAUGCAAUUCAGCAAGAUCCUGUUGAUGGGGGAAAUAGUCAGGGAGUGAUUUCCUGAACAAGGUUGAUCAACUCUUCCUUCAGAGACUCAAUGUCACUCUCCAGGUGCAGGCGACCAACGUUGGUGUCAUCCAGAAGCCUCCUUAGUCUAG
Molecule: long non-coding RNA, 286 nt
Organism: Anoplopoma fimbria (sablefish)
Lineage: Eukaryota; Metazoa; Chordata; Actinopteri; Perciformes; Anoplopomatidae
Exons: 3
Source: RefSeq, a predicted model, not a curated record